RNAcentral lists this ribosomal RNA (465 nucleotides) under Vreelandella stevensii. RNAcentral's name for it is "partial 16S ribosomal RNA". It matches the Rfam family "Bacterial small subunit ribosomal RNA", at positions 338 to 795 of the family's 1533-position model. Lineage: Bacteria; Pseudomonadati; Pseudomonadota; Gammaproteobacteria; Oceanospirillales; Halomonadaceae. The record is from RNAcentral.
CCUACGGGGGGCAGCAGUGGGGAAUAUUGGACAAUGGGGGGAACCCUGAUCCAGCCAUGCCGCGUGUGUGAAGAAGGCCCUCGGGUUGUAAAGCACUUUCAGUGAGGAAGAACGCCUGGUGGUUAAUACCCAUCAGGAAAGACAUCACUCACAGAAGAAGCACCGGCUAACUCCGUGCCAGCAGCCGCGGUAAUACGGAGGGUGCGAGCGUUAAUCGGAAUUACUGGGCGUAAAGCGCGCGUAGGUGGCUUGAUAAGCCGGUUGUGAAAGCCCCGGGCUCAACCUGGGAACGGCAUCCGGAACUGUCAAGCUAGAGUGCAGGAGAGGAAGGUAGAAUUCCCGGUGUAGCGGUGAAAUGCGUAGAGCUCGGGAGGAAUACCAGUGGCGAAGGCGGCCUUCUGGACUGACACUGACACUGAGGUGCGAAAGCGUGGGUAGCAAACAGGAUUAGAUACCCUGGUAGUC